This is a long non-coding RNA of Poecilia reticulata (guppy), 421 nucleotides long. RefSeq lists it as uncharacterized. Lineage: Eukaryota; Metazoa; Chordata; Actinopteri; Cyprinodontiformes; Poeciliidae. The record is from RefSeq and is a predicted model, not a curated record.
GCGUACGUGACUUCCUCUUGCCGUUGGAAACGCUGCUGGUGCUUUUUCGGAGUCAGAAGUGCACAUAAGACCAGAGGACAGCAGAUUUGUGUUUUAUUGUCUUCAGUGGCUCAACAAUCACUGGAGUUGACGCCAAACAAAAGCCAAGCAGAGUGGCAGCUCAGUGAACGGAAACGCCUCGCUGAUGAGAGGGGUCAGCGGCUGACAGGAAGUCCACGGCAGCUCAAACUGCCACUCGCUGCAAAUGUGCUGGGGUGGAGAAACAGGUCAGAACAAACAACACACCAAACACUGAGGUGAUCAGACCCGACAGCAGAAAACCACCCCGAGUCUCUCCUCCAGAUCAGAAAUAUGAAGCUAAGCUGAAAAAAAAACACUGCCUGAAUAUAAAUACGUUGGAAACUGGAUAAAAAGAGGAAAU